RNAcentral lists this ribosomal RNA (253 nucleotides) under uncultured bacterium. Its description in RNAcentral is "partial 16S ribosomal RNA". It matches the Rfam family "Bacterial small subunit ribosomal RNA", at positions 524 to 776 of the family's 1533-position model. The record is from RNAcentral.
UACGGAGGGGGCUAGCGUUGUUCGGAAUUACUGGGCGUAAAGCGCACGUAGGCGGCUUUGUAAGUUAGAGGUGAAAGCCCGGGGCUCAACUCCGGAAUUGCCUUUAAGACUGCAUCGCUUGAACACGGGAGAGGUGAGUGGAAUUCCGAGUGUAGAGGUGAAAUGCGUAGAUAUCAGGAGGAACACCUGUGGUGUAGACAGCUUACUGGACCACUUCUGACGCUGAGACACGAAAGCGUGGGUAGCAAACAGG